RNAcentral lists this ribosomal RNA (465 nucleotides) under Vreelandella stevensii. RNAcentral describes it as "partial 16S ribosomal RNA". It matches the Rfam family "Bacterial small subunit ribosomal RNA", at positions 338 to 795 of the family's 1533-position model. The record is from RNAcentral. Lineage: Bacteria; Pseudomonadati; Pseudomonadota; Gammaproteobacteria; Oceanospirillales; Halomonadaceae.
CCUACGGGAGGCAGCAGUGGGGAAUAUUGGACAAUGGGGGCAACCCUGAUCCAGCCAUGCCGCGUGUGUGAAGAAGGCCCUCGGGUUGUAAAGCACUUUCAGUGAGGAAGAACGCCUGGUGGUUAAUACCCAUCAGGAAAGACAUCACUCACAGAAGAAGCACCGGCUAACUCCGUGCCAGCAGCCGCGGUAAUACGGAGGGUGCGAGCGUUAAUCGGAAUUACUGGGCGUAAAGCGCGCGUAGGUGGCUUGAUAAGCCGGUUGUGAAAGCCCCGGGCUCAACCUGGGAACGGCAUCCGGAACUUGCAAAGAUGAGUUCAGGAGAGGAAGGUUAGAAUCCCCGGGGAGGGGGGGAAAGCGGAGGGGACCGGGGGGAAAACAGGGGCGAAGGGGGGCUUCUGGACUGAACCCGACCACGGGGGUGGGAAACGGUGGUAGCAAACAGGAUUAGAUACCCCAGUAGUC